RNAcentral lists this unclassified non-coding RNA (329 nucleotides) under uncultured fungus. RNAcentral's name for it is "partial contains 5.8S ribosomal RNA and internal transcribed spacer 2". The stretch from base 1 to 133 matches the Rfam family "5.8S ribosomal RNA", at positions 22 to 154 of the family's 154-position model. Lineage: Eukaryota; Fungi. The record is from RNAcentral.
UGGUUCUGGCAUNGAUGAAGAACGCAGCGAAAUGCGAUACGUAGUGUGAAUUGCAGAAUUCAGUGAAUCAUCGAAUCUUUGAACGCACAUUGCGCCCUUUGGUAUUCCAAAGGGCAUGCCUGUUCGAGCGUCAUUUGUACCCUCAAGCUUUGCUUGGUGUUGGGCGUUUUGUCUUUGGUUGCCAAAGACUCGCCUUAAAACGAUUGGCAGCCGGCCUACUGGUUUCGCAGCGCAGCACAUUUUUGCGCUUGCAAUCAGCAAAAGAGGACGGCACUCCAUCAAGACUCUUUAUCACUUUUGACCUCGGAUCAGGUAGGGAUACCCGCUGA